GCACAAUGGAGUGCGCAGCUCCGGCAUCAGGACGGGGAGCGUUGCCACUGCAGCGUGUCUUAACUGACUUCUAAAUAGAGCGUCUAUACUUUGAUACCCCCGGCGGUCAUGUCUGUCCAGCUCCUAGCGGGUUUCUGCUUUCCUGUCUGUUCCGCUGGCGUUUUUUCUGACUGAGCCACAACGCAUAAGCCGGUAUUAGACAUAUCUAACCUGUCAAAGAAGAUCAAUAAGAGAUACAACCUAUUGGGAAGAAUAUGAUGCCAAUUUAUGUUAUCCUCUAUAGCUGCAAGUAGCUGACAAGUAUUAUAAUGAGGUGCAGCUACAAUUUAUCCAGCAGUCAUAAGACACUCCAGAAGAACUGCAAGCUCAGAAGUCCUUCACUGAAAACAAUAUGAGAGAGAUGAGAGAUGAAUACUAAAUGAAUUACAUGCGACCUGUUGGUGGA
This is a long non-coding RNA of Hyla sarda, 445 nucleotides long. RefSeq lists it as uncharacterized. The transcript is spliced from 4 exons. The record is from RefSeq and is a predicted model, not a curated record. NCBI's taxonomy places the organism in Eukaryota, Metazoa, Chordata, Amphibia, Anura, Hylidae.